GGGAAAAAGAAAAAAAAAAAGGAAACAAUAGUCAGGUUGUUAGGGGCACAGAGAGAGAGGGAUACGGGGUUGUUUGUUAAAAUGAAAGUUCCAUUUAUAUUGUAUGAAGGCCUAAAGACCAGUUUCUGUAGGGAAUAACUUAUUUCUAGAGCAUGCUUCCUGUGUCCACAGAGAACUCAAGAGUCCCUCACCGUCUGGACUGGGUAUGGAUAGGGUUAUGAAGAUGAUCCAAUGGGGUGGGCUUCUAGAGAGAGGUUAGAGGUGUCUGGUGUUGCUGCUCUGAUGGGCUGUUGAGAGGGCCAGAAUGAUGAGAAGCUAACCACUUACGGAUCUAGAGAAGAAGGAGCCACAGGAGCAAAGACCCUGAGAGAGGAAAGAACCCAGGCUGGAUGAGGGACAGACGGAGGGCCAGUGAGCCUGGAGAGCAGUGAGCAAGUCAGUAAACCAGAAGGAAGUGAGCUCCAAGAGGCACCAUGAGCUGAACAUGGAGAUCUUUGGGAGCCAAGCUUUGGUUUGCGGCCCACCCCUCUUCACCUGGUCCACUUCUGCAUUCUUCGAUGCAGUGUGACCAAGAACCCUGGGCACCGAAGGAGAA
RNAcentral lists this long non-coding RNA (595 nucleotides) under Mustela putorius furo (domestic ferret). Its description in RNAcentral is "lncRNA (ENSMPUG00000027180.1)". Lineage: Eukaryota; Metazoa; Chordata; Mammalia; Carnivora; Mustelidae. The record is from RNAcentral.